Molecule: long non-coding RNA, 685 nt
Filed under: Mustela putorius furo (domestic ferret)
Lineage: Eukaryota; Metazoa; Chordata; Mammalia; Carnivora; Mustelidae
Description: lncRNA (ENSMPUG00000028288.1)
Source: RNAcentral
UUGAAAGAACAAUAUUAAACUUGUUACUAAAUUGUUUUUGUUUUGUCUUUUGGUAGUCUUGGUGAUGAGAUCGGACCUGAAGUCAGCUGCUGAAGAUUCUGAAGAUGGUUCCUAGGAGCAGGUGAAGAUAUCCACAGAGCCUCUUUGUUUACAGCCUCUUCAGCACUCUCCAGAAUCUCUGUACCUGUAGGGAUACCAGCUUACCUGUUUUCAUCCAGUGGGAAGGAAACUCUGCAAGGAAGCCGUGACCGGAGCACGCGGUGCAGGACCCCUGACUGUGCUUUCCGUGUAAGCACAGAAAUCCUACAGCGGCCUUCCUAAAAAGUGUCCUUUGAGUAUCAGAGUCAGUCGCUGUAAAAAGACAAACUGGAUCACUUUUCAAAGCUGCCAGCUGGAAUCUUAACUGGAAAUUCUGCAGAAAUACCUGUUAAUGUUUCCAGUGUUCAUGACCUUAAAAAAAUAAAAAAUAAAAAAAAUUGCUGGAUCAUUCAUUCUUAAAAAAUUAUUAUUAUAACUGUAUUGUUUUAGUGAUGUGAAGGUUCAUUUCCUAUUUCUUGUGAUUUAUGGUUCUACGUCUUUAGGAAUGGUAGCCAUUCUCCACAGGCAAACUGUAUAAUGAAAGGAAAGGAGUAAAAGACAGUCAUCCCAUAUCCCAUGGAGUUGCUUUUAUCUGUGAAGAAUUCCC